GUGCCUUAAACUAAUGAGUAAGGAAAAUAUCGAACCUUGGUGAUGCUUGGUUCUUAUAAUCAAAUUUUAUAAUCAAUUUUUGGAAGGGUACAGGUUGUCCCACGGGAGGCAUGCCUACUUUUGCAUGCCACUCGGGUGAUAGCAAUCUGCCCU
Molecule: small nuclear RNA, 153 nt
Organism: Planococcus citri (citrus mealybug)
Lineage: Eukaryota; Metazoa; Arthropoda; Insecta; Hemiptera; Pseudococcidae
Product: U12 minor spliceosomal RNA
Exons: 1
Source: RefSeq, a predicted model, not a curated record